GAAGCAGCAACGCCGCGUGAGGGAUGAAGGCCUUUGGGUUGUAAACCUCUUUUACCAGGGACGAUGAUGACGGUACCUGGUGAAUAAGCCACGGCUAACUACGUGCCAGCAGCCGCGGUAAUACGUAGGUGGCAAGCGUUGUCCGGAUUUACUGGGCGUAAAGAGCGCGCAGGCGGUUGAUUAAGUCGAAUGUGAAAGCCCCCGGCUCAACUGGGGAGGGUCAUUCGAUACUGAUCAACUUGAAGGCAGGAGAGAGAAGUGGAAUUCCCGGUGUAGUGGUGAAAAUGCGUAGAUAUCGGGAGGAACACCAGUGGCGAAGGCGACUUCUUGGCCUGUUCUUGACGCUGAGGCGCGAAAGCUGGGGGAGCAAACGGGAUUAGAUACCCCGGUAGUCCCAGCCGUAAACGAUGGACACUAGGUGUUGGUGGUAUCAACCCCGCCAGUGCCGUAGCUAACGCAUUAAGUGUCCCGCCUGGGGAGUACGGCCGCAAGGCUA
This 496-nucleotide ribosomal RNA is filed under the name uncultured bacterium. RNAcentral describes it as "bacterial SSU rRNA". It matches the Rfam family "Bacterial small subunit ribosomal RNA", at positions 385 to 896 of the family's 1533-position model. The record is from RNAcentral.